GACGAACGCUGGCGGCGUGCUUAACACAUGCAAGUCGAGCGGUAAGGCCCUUUCGGGGGUACACGAGCGGCGAACGGGUGAGUAACACGUGGGUGACCUGCCCUCAGCUCUGGGAUAAGCCUGGGAAACCGGGUCUAAUACCGGAUAUGACUCCAUGAUGCAUGUUGUGGGGUGGAAAGCCUUGUGCGGCUGAGGAUGGGCCCGCGGCCUAUCAGCUUGUUGGUGGGGUGANGGCCUACCAAGGCGACGACGGGUAGCCGGCCUGAGAGGGCGACCGGCCACACUGGGACUGAGACACGGCCCAGACUCCUACGGGAGGCAGCAGGUGGGGAAUCUUGCGCAAGUGGGACGAAAGCCUGACGCAGCGACGCCGCGUGA
RNAcentral lists this ribosomal RNA (378 nucleotides) under uncultured bacterium. Its description in RNAcentral is "bacterial SSU rRNA". It matches the Rfam family "Bacterial small subunit ribosomal RNA", at positions 28 to 404 of the family's 1533-position model. The record is from RNAcentral.